GCCGCCUUAGCUCAGUUGGUAGAGCACGGCAUUCGUAAUGCCGGGGUCGCGUGUUCGAGUCACGCAGGCGGCACCA
Molecule: transfer RNA, 76 nt
Filed under: Rhodospirillaceae bacterium
Lineage: Bacteria; Pseudomonadati; Pseudomonadota; Alphaproteobacteria; Rhodospirillales; Rhodospirillaceae
Also listed under: 1 other name
Description: tRNA-Thr
Rfam family: tRNA
About the family: Transfer RNA (tRNA) molecules are approximately 80 nucleotides in length. Their secondary structure includes four short double-helical elements and three loops (D, anti-codon, and T loops).
Source: RNAcentral